This is a small nucleolar RNA of Pseudophryne corroboree (corroboree frog), 128 nucleotides long. RefSeq annotates it as small nucleolar RNA SNORA15. The record is from RefSeq and is a predicted model, not a curated record. NCBI's taxonomy places the organism in Eukaryota, Metazoa, Chordata, Amphibia, Anura, Myobatrachidae. The transcript has a single exon.
GCAUGGAUGAAUUCUGCAUUGGCAUGUUGUUGACAUUGCAGUCAGACACCAUGCUAAAGUAAAUCAAAUAUGUAUUUUGAAAAAUGAUGUAUUUAUCUGAUAUCGUCAUUUUAAAUACUUUUGCACAU